UGCCAGCCGCCGCGGUAAGACAGAGGGUGCAAACGUUGCUCGGAAUUACUGGGCGUAAAGCGCGUGUAGGCGGGUCGCCAAGUCAGAUGUGAAAGCCCUGGGCUCAACCCAGGAACUGCAUUUGAAACUGGCGGCCUUGAGUGGUGGAGAGGGAAGCGGAAUUCCUGGUGUAGAGGUGAAAUUCGUAGAUAUCAGGAGGAACACCGGUGGCGAAGGCGGCUUCCUGGACACUUACUGACGCUGAGACGCGAAAGCGUGGGGAGCAAACAGGAUUAGAUA
Molecule: ribosomal RNA, 279 nt
Filed under: uncultured bacterium
Lineage: Bacteria
Description: partial 16S ribosomal RNA
Rfam family: Bacterial small subunit ribosomal RNA
Source: RNAcentral